GCAGAAUUGAGUCUGUUUUCCCAGGA
RNAcentral lists this non-coding RNA (26 nucleotides) under Drosophila melanogaster (fruit fly). The record is from RNAcentral. Lineage: Eukaryota; Metazoa; Arthropoda; Insecta; Diptera; Drosophilidae.